RNAcentral lists this ribosomal RNA (253 nucleotides) under uncultured bacterium. RNAcentral's name for it is "partial 16S ribosomal RNA". It matches the Rfam family "Bacterial small subunit ribosomal RNA", at positions 524 to 776 of the family's 1533-position model. The record is from RNAcentral.
UACGUAGGGUGCGAGCGUUAAUCGGAAUUACUGGGCGUAAAGCGUGCGCAGGCGGUUUUGUAAGCCAGAUGUGAAAUCCCCGGGCUUAACCUGGGAAUGGCAUUUGGGACUGCAAGGCUGGAGUGCGGCAGAGGAGACUGGAAUUCCCGGUGUAGCAGUGAAAUGCGUAGAUAUCGGGAGGAAUACCGAUGGCGAAAGCAGUCUUCUGGACCAUCACUGACUCUGAUCUGCGAAAGCUAGGGGAGCAAACAGG